CGGCGGACGGGUGAGUAACGCGUGGGUAACCUGCCUCAUACAGGGGGAUAACAGUUGGAAACGGCUGCUAAUACCGCAUAAGCGCACAGUACCGCAUGGUACCGUGUGAAAGACUCCGGUGGUAUGAGAUGGACCCGCGUCUGAUUAGGUAGUUGGUGGGGUAACGGCCUACCAAGCCGACGAUCAGUAGCCGACCUGAGAGGGUGACCGGCCACAUUGGGACUGAGACAUGGCCCAA
This 238-nucleotide ribosomal RNA is filed under the name uncultured bacterium. Its description in RNAcentral is "partial 16S ribosomal RNA". It matches the Rfam family "Bacterial small subunit ribosomal RNA", at positions 96 to 334 of the family's 1533-position model. The record is from RNAcentral.